CCUACGGGAGGCAGCAGUGAGGAAUAUUGGUCAAUGGACGAGAGUCUGAACCAGCCAAGUAGCGUGAAGGAUGACUGCCCUAUGGGUUGUAAACUUCUUUUAUAUGGGAAUAAAAUGUUCCACGUGUGGGCUUUUGUAUGUACCAUAUGAAUAAGGAUCGGCUAACUCCGUGCCAGCAGCCGCGGUAAUACGGAGGAUCCGAGCGUUAUCCAGAUUUAUUGGGUUUAAAGGGAGCGUAGGUGGAUUGUUAAGUCAGUUGUGAAAGUUUGCGGCUCAACCGUAAAAUUGCAGUUGAAACUGGCAGUCUUGAGUACAGUAGAGGUGGGCGGAAUUCGUGGUGUAGCGGUGAAAUGCUUAGAUAUCACGAAGAACUCCGAUUGCGAAGGCAGCUCACUGGACUGCAACUGACACUGAGGCUCGAAAGUGUGGGUAUCAAACAGGAUUAGAUACCCUUGUAGUC
This 460-nucleotide ribosomal RNA is filed under the name uncultured bacterium. RNAcentral describes it as "partial 16S ribosomal RNA". It matches the Rfam family "Bacterial small subunit ribosomal RNA", at positions 338 to 795 of the family's 1533-position model. The record is from RNAcentral.